UGAUUUGACAUUUAGGAGUUCAUUAGUGUUCCUUCAAGAGGAAUUCUUUAAUUCAUUAAAGUGAUGAAUAACUUUCAUCUAUUUUAUAUAUGCCAAUUUCUUUACAUGUCUUCUCUUCUGGAAUAGAAGCUCUUUGCAGACAAAAUAAAAACUAAAAGGACGAGCCAGGGCAGGAAAAUGCCAGCUGGAGAUCAGUUGAGCAAGGCUGCCAAACCACACAUGAGGAGGUGGAAGAGAAGGGCUGUUUAUUCUGGGAAUUGGGCAGAAAUUUCACUGUCUGCAUAAACGUUUUGGAUGCAUUAGUUUUGUUUGUGUGUUCCUGGUUCCUGACUGAUUUUACCAGUGGAUCCUGAUUGGAAGACCAUGUCUUCAAUUAAGACUGUAUGAUGGCGACUGGCAUGCUUACCAGAUGAAGGACCAGAGAAGAAGAAAGAGUUCUACAAGGAACAUGAAUGGACAUGGAAGGACUUAACUUUGAACUUUGAAAUCUUGGAACUUUUGGCCAUGAGGAUAUGUAAGGAUGCAUCGUACAUGUGAACAUCACAUAAAUAUGCAUGUACAUCCUACAUAGCAAAGGAAGAUAUUUCAUGGAAUGGUCAGAAAGAAUGCUUGAUGGAGAAAGGCCCGUGGAAGUCUGACAGAAUCCAGUCUCCAGAAGAUUGCAACCACAUCAUUAUGAUCCAGUAACUAAAUAUGUUACACAAGAUCUCCCUGGCACUAAGUUGUUGUUACAGGGGAAGCUCUCAUGUAGAUAAACUUGUGCUAAAUGUU
Monodelphis domestica (gray short-tailed opossum) is the source of this 771-nucleotide long non-coding RNA. RefSeq lists it as uncharacterized. The record is from RefSeq and is a predicted model, not a curated record. NCBI's taxonomy places the organism in Eukaryota, Metazoa, Chordata, Mammalia, Didelphimorphia, Didelphidae.